CAGUCGCCGCGGUAAUACGGAGGGUGCAAGCGUUAAUCGGAAUUACUGGGCGUAAAGCGCACGCAGGCGGUCUGACAAGUCAGAUGUGAAAUCCCCGGGCUUAACCUGGGAACUGCAUUUGAAACUGUCAGGCUGGAGUCUUGUAGAGGGGGGUGGAAUUCCAGGUGUAGCGGUGAAAUGCGUAGAGAUCUGGAGGAAUACCGGUGGCGAAGGCGGCCCCCUGGACAAAGACUGACGCUCAGGUGCGAAAGCGUGGGGAGCAAACAGGAUUAGAGACCCGAGUAGUCCCUGUCUCUUAUAC
RNAcentral lists this ribosomal RNA (301 nucleotides) under uncultured bacterium. Its description in RNAcentral is "partial 16S ribosomal RNA". It matches the Rfam family "Bacterial small subunit ribosomal RNA", at positions 509 to 807 of the family's 1533-position model. The record is from RNAcentral.